CCGUUCAUCUGGGGAGGCAGAGGUGAGAAGAGCAAAAUCAAUGAUGGGGAUUGAGUGUUCAGGGUCGUUUGCAUCUCCCUUAUCGUUGGGAUCCAUGAUGUAGGCGUACUCGGAAGGUACAGAAGUGAGAGCAUCUGAGUCGGCUAAGGUUUUGAUGCUUGCUACCUUGGGUUCAGAUGCAUCCACUGAAGUCACGGUAGGUGCCAUUGGUGGAGGGAGCGAGAAAGAAGCUGAGAAUUCUGGUCUUUGAUUUGUAUAUCCUGAAGGAAGGACGUGAGGGAGAGGAAAGUUGAUUGUUUGAGAGUUGUGGAGAAAUAUGAAAAAAGGAGUUGCUAUUUUAUAGAGCAAGAUAACUUAUGACUCUACCCCCACAAGCUGGUGGUUUUUGAAUAAGUUCGGCCAAAGCUGACCUAGAUUUCAAAUCUGUUGUCCUGCAACAAUAAAAUAUAUAUUAAUUAGUUGUUAACCUACAUGUAUAUGCAAUAGAUUAAUUCUUGGAAAACCAUAUUAUGUAAAUCAUAUUUAAAUUAUUUCUCUAAUAGAGAUGAGACAUACUUGUAUGAUUCGAUAGAUGGUUUAUUAUCGUCUACAUAGGAAAAUGUCAAAGGAACAUUUAAAUCAUGUGCUAUGUUACUAAUAGAAAUAAGUUCGUUAAUCAAGCACUUAAGUAACAAAAUAAUCAUUGACAAUCACGUCAUGUUUAUAUAUAUGGUCUCACUAGCAUUACUCGAUCUACAAAAUAUGAUUUUUUAGCAUUACCCUCUCUAAAAGAAGUAGAGUCCACCAUACAUGUAGGUCGCACUAUUUCAAAGAUUUCGAAGUGGUCUCCAAAAUAUUAGUGUAAGCACAAAAAUUCCUGCCACAAAUGAGAUAUUUACAUGCCUACAAUUAGCUCCCCAACAUUUUUCUAUGCAAUAAUCAUACUACUACUAGAUAUAGGAAAACCAAAAUUUGAGGGGAUUGCCUAUGAAUAUGUUAUAUAAUACAUUCAUUAUCUAAUAGUAUGAUAUGCAACUAAAAAGACAUGGUAUCAUAUUUAACCGUUAAAUGGUGAAAAUACUAAAUAAAUAUACAUGCUGUAAGUAAACUAAUGAAAUAGUGAAAAAAAAUGCUUUACUUUGUUUUAUAUUCCCAAAUGGAGGAGAGAUGGGAAGAGUAUAUGCAUGAAUGAAUAGUUGAUGAGAAAAUUAGAAAAAUGUAGGAAUGCGUUUGGCAUGGGGUUUAAAGAAAAUCCAAAGUCGCGUCCAGUUUGAGACUUUGACUACGGCAGACAAAGCCACUGAAGCAAGCACAACAAGCCGCCCACCACAGCCAAGUAAAAGAAUAUGACACGAAAUAUGGCACAAAAAAAUCAAAUACAAUCAUGCAUCGGCAUCUGUACGCAUCUACAAUUCCAAAUCUAAAUUUACCCCUUGGCCUUGGGAGUUUCUGCCGUUUGGAUGCCCACCGGUAGGUAACAGAUUCUUCAUGUCCCAAGCCUAAUAUUGGAAUCCCGUUUUAUGAAACCUCGUUAAUUGGGUGCAAUUAUUGACACACCAAAAAUUGAGAAUUUUAACGAAACGCUUCCGGUAUUGUUUAUUUUAACGAAAAAUCAUAUUUUUACACUAAAAAGUUAAUCCUGGUACUAUUCACUUUACCCUUUAUUUUGUCCUUAUCGUUAAAACUCAAAGUUUUCAAAUAAUUUUCAUUAGUUUUCCUUUAAAAAAUUUAUUGUGCUCUUUUUAUAAGUGUUUGUUUUACAAAUAAUAUUUUACAGUAUCCAUAUUAAAAGAAAAAGUUUGAACCUUGAACGAAAUUAGUUGAGGGGGAAGACCUAACUAUUAAGACAAUUCACUAUUUGCAAGUAUUUUUUUUUUCUAAAUAAGACAAUAAUUUUUUCUAAGAUGCCAAUAACAACGCCCAAUCAACUUUGAUGAUUCAAUUAGUCAACCAUUAAUUCAUGUUAGUUGGCUUGGUUUUCGAGAAGGUGACGUAUAUCCAAAUUCCAACUAUAUUAUACUUCUCCAUUUUGUUUUUAUUUUGAGUAAUGUUAAGGAGGUUACACGUUUAUAUUAUAUUUAGUAUAUCAUCUCAUAUAACAAGUGAUGCAUACAAUUAAUAUCCAAUGAGAUAAUUUUAUAUUGACUUGACGUGUACACAUCACUUGUCAUGGCACGAGAGAUUUUACAUAUUUUACUUUCUCGAACAUUAAACUUAGAACGAGAAUGAUGCAAUCCAUAUUUCUAUGAAACCUCUCUUUUGUUUGGUGAACCACAUAUAUGGCUAAAACCUUUUGAAUGUGAAUAUGCUUGAAAUUUCAUUUCUCAGAAUAAAACAAUACCUUAAAAUAAUAUUCUGGAGAGUAGGCUUUCAUAGUUUGAAAAACACAUGCGAAAAUACUACAAAUUAGUUCAAAAUGCACGCAAGACACUUUUGUAUAAAUUAAAUGUAACCCUAAGUUUAUAUUUCGUUCAAAGGACCUAUCCCUUCCAGAAUGUAAACCCCACACGAGUCAAAGUGACAUCAUUUGCACCCAUUUCAUCCUACCUUUUAACUAGAACUCUUGCUUUAAGUCUCUAUGGGAAUUGACUGGAGUAGGUUCUCUGGCGAAACAGACAAAAUGACCUUGUCAAAAUCUACCGUAGAAAAGCAGAGUAGAAUUUUCUCUACUUCUAGUCUUCUAUUCUCUUCCAUUUCCCUUACCCCCACUCAUACUUUCAUUUUUUUCUUUAUACCUCUAUAAAAAAUAUUCUGAGCUGCUGACGUGAUUGAAUCUCAACCUUUCAAAUACGAGAGGAGAGAAGGGGAAAUAAUCCUAGAAAAAGUGACUCCACCGGUGCUCCAAUCAUGUGAGUUGACUUGGCGCCAAUUCAAAAAAUCAUCUCCAUUGGUAGAAAAAUAUUAAGGCAAUUGGAACAAGUGUAGCAACCCCACCUGAGCUUGCACUUGCAAGCAAUUAGAGCAACUCCAGCGUUGCAAAGGCCCUUAGGGCAACUCACUAUUAAAUAACCUCCAGUAAAUAAUAACUUUCAUUAAUGAACAAUAACUAUCUUUUGCAUCUCCAAUCCUAAACUAAAUAGUCAUGGCAAUAGGCAAUAAAAUAUUAGUAUUUUUUAUUUUAUAAAAUAAUACAAAAUAAUUUUAUUUGUAAUUUCGAAUAAGAUUUUUAAUUGUUUUCGUUGCGCUACGUGUCAUUAUCCGAGAAGACAAUUUUUGGUGAUAGAUUUCGAUAAGAUAUCUAUUCAAUGUCGUCGUGCCACGUGUUGUUAUCUUUUCAGAAUCGUUGAGGAUAUAUUUUCAAUAAGAUUUUUAACCAAUCACGUCGCGCCACGUGUCACAAUUUGUUUACAAUCUUUGAGGAUAGACUUCAAUCAGAUUUUUAACGAAUGAUGGCAUGCCACGUGACAUUAUCUACAACCUAAUAUGAAAUUGUGGUGUAAGAUAGAAGAUAAUGAGUAGGUAUUUAUAGAAAAGUAAAAUAAUUUUUUUUUCGGAUUUUUCAUUAAUUUUAACAUUUUUAUUAACUUAAUUAAUCUCUGCAGUUGGACUAAAAAAAAUUUGAAAUCCAACCUUCCAGAUUGUGCCAUGUGGCACAACAGUAACAUUUCAAAAUUUAUUAAUGUGAAUUCUUUUUUUAUUUAUUUUUAAAGGCGAAUAAUGUGGAUCGUUGAUCUCAAAUCCAACGGCUGAUACUGUGGAAGGUUUCAAAUUUUUUUUACCAUUGGAAAUCCAACGGUGUAGAUAAAGUAAUCGUUGAAAUCCAACAGACAAGAAAAAGCCACGUGGCCACCAACAGGUAACAUUUCUGCCGUCUACGCCGUGGGCCCCAGUGCUUGAUGCAAAAAUAAUUAAAUAAUGGCUGACGCCACCCUGACGUCAGCGUUGCAUCACAUGACCCUCAAGCUCUCGGGCCACCAAUUCGCAUUGGGCCUUUCACUCAGGCCCCCCUCCCCAAUCGCACGCAUGGGCUGGAGGUUGUUGCUGGGGCUAUUAGGUCUUCAAAGUUGUCGGUCCAUCGGGCUUCAGCUCCUGCUGGAGUUGCUCUUAGAGCAAGGGCAGCAGCCCGUUGGGCUGUCCUACUUGUUCAAGCAUGGGCUUGGGCCUGUAGGCAACUGAAACUAACGUCUGUGCAGGUCCACCACGUGCAAUCCACUAAGGCAAAAACCUCGCACUCACCCGUUAGAUUUUUAAUGGUCUUCUCAUCGACCGUUGGAUUUUCAACAAUAAAAAAACUUGAAAAUUAUAGUUUGUGCCACGUCGCACAAUUUGGUGCAUCUAAUUUUUUUUUUUUGGAAAUCAACGACUAGGAUUAAUCCAAAGGUAAAAAUUCCACAAAAUGUCAAAAAAAAAAAAAAUACAAAAUUUUGUUUAGUAACACAUUAACACUUAAACAAACUCCAAAGUUCAACCAUCUUCUUUAUUCACCUUUUACCUUUAAUUAAUUAUGCUUGUUUGUACUACUAUGUUUUGCUUGGUUUUCGAGAUGCCAAAAUUCCAACUGUACUAUGAUUCUCCAAUUUGUAUUCAUUUUGAGUAAUGCUGAGGAGAUUACACAUUUUUACUACAUUUAAUGUAUUAUCUCAUAUGACAAAUAAUGCAUACAAACAAAAAUAAUGCAGUCCAUAUCUCUAUUAGGGCUGGGUUAGGUUUGAAACGGUUCGGUUUUUAGUCAAAAUCGAAACCGAACCGAAAUUUCGGUUCAGUUCGGUUCGGUUCAAAUUUUUUCGGUUCGGUUUUUUUCGAUUUUGAUUUUUUUCGGUUCGGUUUCAGUCCGGUUCGGUUUUUUCCAUGAUAUUUUUUUUUUAAUUUGGAACAAAUCUGCAACGAUUAAUUGCGAGCACUGAAGAUGCAGAAACUUAUUGGGUAUUGGUGCAAAUGAAUAUGAACUGGAACAAAUCUGCAAAUCUGCACUGGAAGAAAUCUGCAAAUGAAUACGAACUGGAACAAAUCUGCAAAUGAAUACGAAAAUUACAAUAUAAAAUCCCAAAUCCCAACAAAUCUGCAAAGAUUAUAACAUGCAAAAUCCCAACUAAUAAUUAAAAGAAAAACCCAUUUUAAUUCAGUAAAUCACAAUAUAAAAUCCCAACAAAUCUGCAAAUGAAUACGAAAAUUACAAUAUAAAAUCCCAACAAAUCUGCAAAGAUUAUAACAUGCAAAUCCCAACAAAUAAUGAAAAGAAAAACUCAUUUUAAUUCAGUAAAUCACAAUAUAAAAUUAUAAAUCAUAUUAGUUUUGAUUCGAAAAUUACCUAUGAGAGAUCGGAAAACCCGGAUUCGAAUCUUCUAAUUUAGAGGGGGUUUUGAUUCGAAAGGGGCGAGGGAAAAUCAUGGUUUGGAAGAAGGAAUCCGUGAGGAGGACAUGAGAAGACUGGAGAGAGAGUGAUUUGGAGGAAGAGAGGAAGGAGAGAGAGAGAGAGAGAGAGAGAGAGAGAGAGAGAGAGGCUGAGGAAGCAAAGGCAGAGAGAGGAAGCAGCGGAGGGGAGUGUUUGAAAUCUGAAAUGGGAAGUGAGACAAAGUGUGAGACGGCUAGGGUUUGUAAAGUUAAGAAAUUUUAUAAAGCAUUAAAUACAAGAAACCUAUAAAUAUUGUACUGGUACAAUUAUAACAACUCAAAGCCUACAGUCAAGUUGGCUUGCAGCAACUAAUCCUAAGCUGUAGGGAAGGGGUUCAAACCCCGGCGCCAACAUGUUUUUUUAGAAUUUAUAUAUGAUUUUUUUUUCGGUUCGGUUCGGUUUCCGAACCUCAAAAACCGAAACCGAACCAACCAGAUUCGGUUCGGUUCGGUUUGGCAGUUUCGGUUCGGUUUUUUCGACUUCGGUUCGGUUUGGUUUUCGGUUUUUUGAACCCACCCCUAAUCUCUAUAAAACCUCUCUUUUGUUUGGUGAACCAUGUACCUAACACCUUUUGAACGGGAAUGCGUACGUACUAAUUGAAUUCUUGAAAUUUCAUUUCGCGCAAUAAACAAAUGUAAUCCCACUGACAUCAUUUGCACCCAUUUCUCUAUGUUGGAACGUCAUCAUACCCUUUAAUUUUAACUCCUCUUAGUCUGUGUGAGUUGACAAGGGAAAGGUCCUCAGGAUAAUAAGGCAAAAUGAUCGUAUCAAAAUCGGCUAUAGAAUCCUUUUGACAAAAAAAAAAAAUAAAAAAAAAUAAAAAAAAAAAUUAAAAAAUAAAAAAUAAAAAUAAAAAUCUGCUAUAGAAUCAAUCGGCACUGACCUUCUUGGGAAAACACAUCCGCUACAUGUUCACACAGCAUUCAGCCUCACGCACCAGCUGCUUGAGGACGCGAAGGAUAGGCCGUUGGAUUUUCCACGUUAAAAAAAUGAAAAAUUAUAAGUUGUGCUAAGUUGCAUAAUGUGGUGUAUUUAAAAAUUAACCGCCAUAAUUAAUUCAAAGCAAAAAAUUUAGAAGAAAAUGCAAAAAAUUCCUAAAAGAUACAAAACUCUGUUCUAGAACACACUUAAAAUUAAACACACUAAAACAAACUGAUAAAAGUUCAACCAUCUUCUUCAUUCACAUUUGAUCUUUAAUUAAUGGGUAAAUUACAUUUUACCACCCCAGAUUUAAGGUUUAUUACAACCUCAUACAACAUCUUCAAAAAAUUUCACUUUCAUAUCUCAUGUACUAUUUUAUUUCAAUAUAAUGCAUCUGAUACAUUUUUCAUCAAUUGGACCGUUAAGAGUUGAUGUGGCUGUCACAUUUAUGCCACGUGACUGCCACAUUUAUGCCAUGUGGCUGACCAAUUAAUAAAAAUAUUAAAAUAAUUAAUUAAAAAACAAUAGAAACCCCCAUUUGUCUUCCUCGAGCACCCUCUUCUCCCAUCCCUCGUCACCAUGGUCUAAAAUAUCCAUAAUAUCCCGAUAUUUCCAUCGAAAUUUCCGUGUUUUUGGACUACCGAUAUUUUUUUGGACUAUCGAUAUUUCCGAUAUCAUCGAUAUUUUAGACCUUGCUAAGUCACUCAUGUAUCUUACCAUGCAAUGUAUAAAGUGUAAAAUAUUGUACUAAUUCAUUAUAUAUAAAUGAUUAUGGUGUGUUUAAACUUCUUUCAUUAAUUACUACAUAUUUUCUACACUCACAAUGUUUGCCAGCUCGCUAUAUAAUCAACUUAAAUCAGUUAUAUCUAUCAUGCAAUGCAUUUCCUUCCAAUUUUUUUGUAAUAAACUAAUAGAUAAUUGACUAAAUAAACAUCCUGUAAAGUUUCAAUAAAAUUUCCAAGUUUUUCUUACAAUUUCCGUGGUUUUUAUUCAAUUUUUAUCGAUAUCGAUAAUAUCCCGAUAUUUCGAUCGAAAUUUCCGUGUUUUUGGAUUAUCGAUAUUUCCGAUAUUAUCGAUAUUUAAUACCUUGCUCGUCACCAACCCUGUCCCCUAAUUUUUUCCCCCAAACAAAGCCCAUCACCUCCUCCUCUCCUCCCGUUGCAACAUUUCCUCCGUUAGCCCGAGGAGGUAUCUCAUCACUAGACCCUGAAUCGCUUAAGACCAACCUAGACCUCUUCUUGUCCUUCGGUUCAAAAACCUUCCGAGCACUCGAAGAACCAACAACACCACUCAACCCCUUAGGUUUCUUCCUCACAAUUAAGCAACCUGAAGAAUUUUUCUUCACCAAAACCCCAGAAGGGCCAACAGAUCUCACACCUUCGUCCAUCUACAUCAACCGCUAGAAACCAAAAAACCCUAAUUUUUCAAAACCCGCCCCUAAUUUUUCAAAACCCGCAGUCCAAUUGAAAGGGCAAAGGAAUAUUUCACAAAAAUCUUACCUCGCAGGAGAGUCUGGAACUCUGCCUAUUGAAGAUAUCUGAUCGCUGUCGCAAUUCUCCAAAUCAGAGAGAAAGGGGAAGGUUCAGACGGAGAAAGAGAGGGAGAGACAUAGAGAGAAGGGCUGGGUUUGGAUUGUAAAUAUAUGCAAUUGCAGGGCAGAUCAGAGAAGGGGUGGCUCGGGUGGGUGAUGGGGGAUGGGAGAAGGAGGUGCUCGAGGAAGACGAAUGGGGGUUUCUGUUUUGUUUUUUGUUUUUUGUUUUUUUUUGUUUUUUAGUUUUCUUUAAUUAAUUAUUUAAAAUGACAUGACUGCCACAUUUGCGCCAUAUGGCUAAACAAUUAAUUAAAAAAAAUUAAUUUUUUUUAUUAAUUGUUUAGGCACGUGGCUCAAAUGUGGCAGUCAUGUCAGCUCUUAACGAAUUAAUGGAUGGAAAAUAUAACAGAUGUAUUAUAUUGAAAUAAAAUAGUACAUGAGGUAUGAUAGUGAAAUUUUUUGAAGAUAUUGUAUGAGGUUGCAAUAGACCUCAAACUUGAGGUGGUAAAGUGUAAUUUACCCUCAAUUAAUUAUGCUUGUGUUGUAAUGUUAUGCUUUACUUUGUGUUUAAUUAAAUUAUUUGAGUUAAAUAGGGAAUUUUAUUUUUAAAGAACAAACUUGUUAAGUACAUACUCACAAGACGUUGGCGGGCCCUACAUCUGUUAGAGAAAUGUAGGUCCUGGCAAACAGGUUGUGUUUACCGUGUUCGUGGUGUUUUCGUGUAACACCUGUUAUCUUAACGAGUCGGGUCGUGUCGUAUCACACCAAUAUCUUAACAUGUUCUUAACAGGUCGGGCUAUUUAACCAGCAGGUAAAAUGACCCGUUAAGAUUUUUUUUUCUUUUAAAUUUGACAUACCACAUUGCCACAUAAAAUAUUACUUCGAAAACUAAUUCGAAACGAAAAACCCCAAAUUGAAGAAAUGAAACCAAUCUAAUUCGAAAACUAAUUCACAGCAAAACCUUAUCUUUUGAAAGUGAUUCGAAAUAAUCAACAAUUACCUUGAUUAGGGCUCCAGAUUCGCUCAAUCCAGAGAGAGAAUAGAGACAAAAGUAGUAGAUCGACUGGUGGUGGGUUACUAGGUCGUAUGUGGUGAGGGUGGUGUUGUGGAGGGAGACUAGAGAGGAUGGUCGUGGACUCGUAGCUAGGUGGAGUUGAGGUUCGAGACUGAGAUUCGAGAGUUUAGUUUGAAAAAGAAAGAGUCUCUGCUUCGAUUCGAGCAUUCGAGAAUAAGAGAGGAGUCUGAUUUAAGGCUGAGAAAAACAUUGGACGGCUGAGAUUUAAUCUUAGCCGAUCCAAUGGUCAUCAAUUUUCUAAUUUUUUUAAAUAUAUAGGAAAACUAAUGAAAAUGGCUUGAAAAUUUUGAAUUUUAAUCAAAAGGACAAAAAUGUGUUGUAAGUGAAUAGUACUAUGAGUGACUUUUUAGAGUAAAAUUGUCAUUUUUCGUUAAAGUGAACAGUACCAGGAGUGUUUUGUUAAAACUCCCUAUAUAUAUAUAUAUUAACUUUCAAUUCAGUUUAGGAUUAAAUCCUUUUGUUGUUAAUCUUAAUAUUUCUUUCUAGUGGUAUGAAAAUUUUAAAUUAAUAUUUUUCCUAUUAUGUAACGGGUUACCCACGUGUGUACCGACCCGUUAUUUAACAGAUGCUUAUCAGGUUACCGGAUAAUGACUCGAUUUGUUAUUGUGUCAACCUGAAAACCUGUUGAUUUCGUGUCGUGUAAAAAAUUGCUAGGCCUCGAGAAAUGUUAUAAAUAGAUGGUAAAUAUAUCAUUAUUUUUUUUUUGUUUUAUUUUGUCUUGUUGCGUGUUACACUUGGGACCCACGUCCCACUUUGAUAUCCUAUUCCCCUCGGACUUGGCUUCUCUGCCCUCCCAAUUCCCAGACACUCUCAUCCCCUCCUAUUUGUGCUGUCAUGGUUAAACCAUGUCAACAUUUUAUAUUACUAUUGCUUUUUGUCUUAUUAUUUCUAUAAAAAAAAUCAAUAUAAAAUGUUGACGUGGCUUAACCGUGACCGUACAAAAUAGGAAGGGAUGAGAAUGUAUGGAAACUGGGAGGGGCAGAGAAGCCGGGUCCAUUCCCCUCUCAUUUUUGUCUCACUUCAGUCAUCCCCCUCUCUAGUUUUGACUUUUCUUUUUUGUCUCCUACUUUCUCUCAUAUUUUGUCAUUGAGUCUCUCUCCUUAGUCUCAGUCUCUCUUAACGAGUUCGAUAUGUGAUGAGAAGGUCCCACUGUUUUACACAUUAAUAUUACUGUGAUGAUAUGUGUGCAAGAAACAUUGGACAACAACUCUACAAGCUGCUCUCAUAGAGAAAUUAGGCUCUUACAUGAGCAUAUAUUAUUUGAUGGAGAAAUUAGGCUCCCGUCCUUAAUUAUUGAUCUUCUUUGAUUAAAACCUUGUUAUUUUUUACUUUUUGAUCAAGGUCCUUGAAGUUUGUACACAUCAGCAUUUUAUUAUCAGCAUAUUUCCAUGUCAGCUUUUUAUUUUUAUUUUUAUUUGAAAUAGUUAAUUAGUGCUUUUUUUUUUAUCUGAGGCUGCAUUUUUAUUCUACGACUAUUAUGCCUCAAAUGCCUCCUAUGCUUACCAAAUUGAAUAUGACGCAUCAAUUCCACCAAAUAAUCCCGCUCACUUGAUUUCUUCUCUUUUUGAUUUUCGUAACUGCAAAUUCCACAAUAAUCUCACUAAGUUUUUCAAAUCCAUCAUUAUUAUCUUUGAUAUGAUGCUUCGAAUUCAAGUUUGGCCAAGAUUUGAAUCGAAGUCAUACUUUAUCUGCGAGCAUUCGAGCGAGCACAAUUUUUUGCAGAGUAACUUGAAGAAUCAAUGACAAUUCCGAGCUAAAAUUCGAGGUUUUUUUUUCUUUUAUAUUUUUUGAAUUUGCACCCAUAGUUCAUUUAUACUGAUUUGUCCGCAAUGGUGGAUUCUUGGUGUUAUAAUUUUCGAACCCAUAUUUACAAGUAGUGUAGUAUUGAUUUCACAAUUGGUUUUGCAUAUGUAAAAUGAUUAUUUUUCAAUAUUUUUUUGGCAUAUAUUGGGGAACUUCAAUGAGUUCAGCAUGUAUCUUGUGGUUUUGCAGUGUUUUUCUGGUGCAUACCAAGUGUUUGUCGAAAUGUUUGAAAGAGAAUUUCGUAUACGAAAAUUUUGUAUGCAUAGAAACUAUUUAUAAAAAUUCUUGAAUAUGUCUUUUUCUCUAUUGUGGUGGGCAUGGGUACAAUUCAAUUUCAUUGGAUACAUUUUUUAACAAUGGAUCAUGUGUUGAUGUGGUGGAAACUACUGAUGUUGUGGAAGUAUAGGUAGGGGUACAACAGAAAUAUAGACCAGAUAAGUCAAGGGAGGACCGGCUAUGGCCGAGAGUUUUUGUCAUCUAUUUUUCUGUUUGACAUAUACCGUAUUUGAGAGGUGGGGGGGGGGGUGGGGAAUUGGCUGUACAAACAGCAAAUAAUAAUGUUCGGUGGAAACUACUGAUGUUGUAGAAGUAUAGGUAGGGGUACAACAGAAAAACAGAGCAGAUAAGUCAAGGGAGGACCAGCUAAGGCCGAGAGUUUUUGCUAUCUAUUUUUCUGUUUAACAUAUACCGUAUUUGAGGGGUGGGGGGCGAGGUGGGGAAUUGGCGGUACAAACAACAAAUAAUAAUGUCCGGUGGAAAUUACUGAUGUUGUAGAAGAAUAGGUAGGGGUACAACAAAAAAACAAAGCAGAUAAGUCAAGGGAGGACCAGCUAAGGCCAAGAGUUUUUGCCAUUAUUUUUCUGUUUGACAUAUACCGUAUUUGAGAGGGGGGUGUGAGGGGAAUUGGCGGUACAAAUAACAAAUAAUAAUUGGACAUGGUUUCAUUCAUCUUUCUAGUUUUCCUUUUGGAAAUUUAUUGCACUUUUCAUGUCAAGCUAGAAUGCUUUGGGUUAAUGUUGUGUCCACUUUCUUUUAUCUUUUCAGAUGGAAGGUGCUAUAGUGGGGAGAUGCACUCAUCAGGGUACCAUUAUAUCUAUCCCAAUUUUUUGCCACAUUACAUUCUCUGAAGUGUACAAUGAGGUUUGCUCAAGGCUCAAUUUGACUCAUGGUUUAUUCGACUUUACAUAUGCUUUACCUAGAUAUUCUACUUGUCUAUUGCAAUAUAAUAUGGACGUGCGGAUGUUGUAUAUGUCGGUUGUCAACGAGAAAUAUUAUUGUGUUGAUAUAGUUAUCAACCAAAAGUCGUGCCGUGACAAUGAUCAUGUCAGCCGAAAUACCAAUGUUUCGCAAACAUUUAUAAUUGAAGGAAAUAUUCACAGCGAUGGGAAUGAGUAUUUAGGAAAUAUGCAACACCAGGAGGCAAGGUAUCUAUGUCAAACUCUUGGAAGACCUACAUUAAUCAUGUAAAUCAAGGAUUUGAAGGUGGAGUGGAAGAAUUCAGAGACAAAAAGAGAAGAAUUGGCAUAAGAAGACUUGAAUAUGUUGGACAAAAAGAGAAGAAUCAGCAUAAGAAGACUUGAAUCCCUAAGAAAGCAAGAACUUGGAAAACCUCUCAUUCCAAGCUCUAGGUGCUUGUUUGAGUCCAUAUAAAGAACUUUCCAAUUUACACACAUACUUAGGAUGUACAGGAUCCAAAAAACCUUGUGGUUGAGCCAUAUAAACUUCUUCAUCAAGAAAACUGUCGCACUCCGGACCCGGAGUCGGUAAUAAAAACUCGAACCCGAAUCUGAAACGUGAGUUAAAAGCUAAAUAAAUAAAAGGAAAUUGACACGAGUUGGAAAAAUAAACUCCUCUUAUUAAAAUAACUCCAAAAUCCUUACAGGAUGUACAAAAGUAAUAAAUUAAAAUCCUUAAAACUCUUAUCCAACACAGCUUCAGCUCGUCUAUCACCUGUCUUGCUAAAUAACAUCUAUCUUGCCAAAUAACUCAUCUAUAAAAUAAUAGGUGAGGGGUGAGCAACAACCACCGUCACUCAGUAAGUAGAAUAUGUAGUAUGCAAGUCAAGCAAUGCCUUUUUAUACACUAAAAAAAAUAGAAUAAUAAUAUCAAAGCCUUAACCACGUAAUUUCAUAUCACAUCAUCCCUUUACAUGUUCAUUACAUCCUUCAUAAAUUGUAACUCACCACGUGACCCCUACUGGCCUUUCCGCCCUAAUGUCCCCGUGUGCAGUUUACAUUUAUCCCUCGGAUUAAUGCAACACUAAAGUUCUCAUGCUCCAUGAACAUAUCCAAAUAAUCCACAUAUCACCAUAUUAAUAAUUCCAAAGGGAUUUCAACAAAUCCAACAUGCUUGACUUAAAAUAGAUAGAGAUUUAUAAAUAUAUAAAACCCACAAUAGUUUGUGGUUUUUAUUUAUCAGAAAAUAAGAAUAUUUUGAAACACAUUACAUAAACCACUCACCUCGAUAAUCCAAGCUUUGGCAAGACAACCUAACUAACAAUCUCCACACAACUAGCAUACUAACCUAAACUCUCUUUCUUGUCUCUCUGUAACCCGAUCUCUCUCCACACACACACACAUAUACACGGACAUACAUGCAUGGCUUCCUAGCAGCCAACAUAUGUUUCCUAAAGUGGUGAAUAAAAGAAUGAAAUGCAACCUCUAUUUAUAGUAGAAAGGGUCGGCUCCCUACAAUGUAAAAUAUAUUAUACGUAGGGAUAGAAAUGUAACUGACGAAUGGCCAGUUGACAAGUGGGUUUCAAGGUGUCGUUGUGCAUGGGGUAGAUGACUUAGGAUUAACACAUGUGGCUUUGCCAACAAUGGUGGAAGCUGGUGGUGUCAAUGGAAUCCCUCAAAACCUCACACCUCAUUGUAAAUAUAACAGUUGUCAAGAAAAUGAAGUGCUACGUGUUGGACUAUGAAGGAAGCCAUCUAAUUGUUGGACACCUCAAAGCAAAAUGGGAUAGACUUCAAUUGCAAGACUACACCUUGCUAAUUGUAAGAAACUAUCGACUAGAAGUUGACAGCAAAAUGCAAAAACUAAUAUGUAAUAUAUAUAUAUAUAUAUAUAUAUAUAUAUAUAUAUAUAUAUAUAUGGAAAAGAAAUACACAAUAUCAUAGUAGUUUCAAAAUACCAUACGUUCCAUAUUUUAAAAAUACGGGUUCUCACAAAAACCAUGAAGAAAUGCAUUUUUCACAUCCAAUUGGUUGAGUUUCCAGCCAUUUGUAGUAGCCAAGGACAAAACCAAUCGUACAGUUGUAAGCUUAACCACUGGACUAAAGGUUUCAUAAUAGUCGAGCCCAGCUUCCUGUGAAAACCCCUUAGCAACUAACCUAGCUUUAUACCGAGCUACAGAACCAUCGGCAUUCUUUUUGAUUUUGUAAAUCCACUUGCAGCCUACAAGGUUCUUGUUUGGAGGAAGAGGAACCAGUUUCUAGGUCUGUUGUUGAACCAAAGCUUGCAUUUCUUCCUUCAUAGCAGCCUGCCAUUCCACAGACUUGGAAGCUGCGGAAAAAGUUUGAGGUUCUGUGCUAGAGAGAUCACCACCAACUUUAGCCGAAAAAACUUUCUUUUUCACAAUACCAGAUUUCGAUCUGGUUUGCAUAGGAUGACUAUUAAGUGUGGACACUAGUACGAACUGUAAUGUAUCAACUUGAGAUGUAGAAGUGUUAGGAUGUAAUUCUGUAUGACUGAGAGACUGUGCAUCAGGUCCAGAAUGAGACACUUGUGUAGUUGAUCUGGGAGGAAGAGAUGCUUGAGGAGAGACAAGGUCACCCGUGUUAUUUGUUGAUGCUGAACUGGACUGAGUAACAGUAGGUGUUGAAUCUCUAGAACCCAUUAAUUGUGACAUUUGAGGUAAAGGUAUAGGUAUAACCAGAGGAUGUUCAAAAGUGUUAAGAUGUACAACAGCACUAGGAGUAGGAGAUGAUGCAUGACUGGAAGAAGAAUGUAAUAAUUUUGUACUAGGAAAUGAUGCAUGACUGGAAGAAGAAUGUAAUAAUUUUGUACUAGGAAAACUAUGUUCAUCAAACAAAACAUGUCUUGACACAAGAAGUUUAUGAGUGCUGAGAGAAAAACAAAUAUAACCCUUGUACUGUGAAACACACCCAACAAAUAUACAUUCUGUAGUUUUUGGAUCUAACUUAUUGCUCCUAUAAGGUCUCAUGGAAGGAUAGCAAGCACACCCAAAGACUCUCAAGUGUUCAAGUGUAGGUGGAGACUUAAACAGACAUUCAAAAGGAGAUUUCAUGUGAAUAAUAGGUGUAGGCAUCCUAUUGAUUAGAUAGGCAGUAGUGGCACAAGCAUGAAACCAAAAAUAAGAAGGCAUGGAUGCUUUUUGAAAUAAAGUAAUAGCAGUUUCCAACAGAUGCCUAUUUUCCUCUCAGCCAACCCAUUUUGUUCUGGGGUAUAAGGACAAGACAUUUGAUGAACAAUACCCUUAUCCCUAAGAAAUGCUUUGAAAGCUAAACCCACAUAUUCACCCCCACCAUCACUUUGAAGUGUUUUAAUAGUUGUAUGAAACUGAAUUUUAACAUAGGCAACAAACUGAGCAAAAACAGAUAGAACUGCAGCUUUAUUGAUAAUAAGGAAAACCCAUGUAUAUCUCGUAAUUUCAUCCACAAAGGACACAUAAUACCUAAACCCUUCUGAAGAUAUAAUUGGAGCAGGACCCCAUACAUUAGAAUGUAUUUCUUCAAAAGGAAGAACAUAUUUUGAAGCAACACUAGGGAAAGGUAAUUUGGAAAACUUGCCUUGCAAGCAAGAGAUACAUGUGGUUGAAUCUUUAUUACAGGGAAUAGAAAUGGAGGAAUUCCUAGGUGCUGCAGUAGUAAUAGCAUUCGAAUGAUGCCCUAACCUACAAUGCCAAAAUUCAAAGGACACAUUUUGACCCAAAAAUGCAGCUGGAGUAGGCAUUUGUGAUUUGGAAGACUUGAGAAUUGGAAUUGGGUAGACUGCGUUGUUACUCAGUCCGUGAUAUAACACUUUCCUGGUGACCUUGUCCUGUAUACAAAUAGAGAACUCAUCAACAAUACAGCGACAUGUGUUGUCUUUACACAAUUGGUACAUAGAAAGCAAAUCUUGAGACAAUUUAGGAACAUGUAAUACAGAAUUAAGCUGAAAUGUAUGCAAUUUGGUGGGGAAAACAGUGUUGCUAAUAUGAGUAAUACUUAAACCUUCACCACCAGCACCAAUGAUUGUCUCAGUUGAUGGAUAAGGAACUGCAGAUUGAAGAUUAGCAAUAUCUGAAGUCAUAUGGUUGGUUGCACCAGAAUCAACCAGCCAAAAAUCUUGGUGAGGUGCACUUGGAGACAAAUUGGCCCAGGCUUGCAUAUCAACAGGCUGAAAUGAGUGAUAUUGAAGAGGUUGCUGCACUAGUGAUCUAGAGGAAUAAUAACCAGAUGGAACUCCAAUAGAGGAAGAUGGAUGUACAUGAAACUAUUGAGAGGAAGAACUAGCCAUAGGAAACUGUGAGGAAGUGACUGAAAAAUGUUGUGAAGAAGAAACAUUCUUGUCAAAACAAGUAGCUGCAGCAUGUCCUUUUCUGUGACAGAUUUGACACCUAUUCUGAAAACAGUUGAGAGCCGAAUGACCUUUCUUGUCACAAAUUUGACAAAUUUGAAAAGGAUUAUAGGCUGAACCAGAGUGAGAUUGAAUAGGAAAGAAACUCUGAGAAUUAUUUGCACCAUACAGAGACUGUGGUGCAGAUUGAGAACUUGAGUAAAACCGUUUGCCCUUGCCUUUAGACUUGAAAUUAUUAUUACCUCUGAAGUUGUUAAAUAAACAAGAGGCAUAUUGAGAAGGGAAAACACACGGUGGAUUAUCAGGCAUAGUUAUCUGAAUAGGUACUGGAUGUGGAAAUCCAGGCAUUGACAAAGUUGAAAAUCCUGACAUAGACAUCUGGGAAUGAGGCAAAGAAGUCCCAAUGUGCAUUCCAGCAUGUCCCGAAGACUGACCUUGAUCAUAUGUAACUCGACCCUGAGCAUACAUAGCAGACAUUAAAGGAAUUUGCUUGUGAACUUCAUCUAGUGUAGAUUCUUCAGCCUUCAAUUGAGAUAUGAGUUCUUUCAAGGACACCAAACUUUCCCUGCCACGAAUUACAACUUUGAUGGUGUGGUAUUUAGAUGGUAAACCCCGUAAAGCCAUAAUAACAAUAUCUUCAUCAGAAAUAGUCACUCCAAUAGCAACCAAUUGAUCUUUAGAAUCCUUGAUCCGCUAAAGAUAUUGAUCAAUUGACUCAUGCCCUUUUUUAAUAUUUUGUAAGUCAAUUUUCAUCUGCACAAUGCUAGUACGAGUGACACUAGCAAAUCGUUCAUGAAGAUUAUCCCACAUUUCCUUGGAACUCUAGCAGCCAAUGAUGCAGGACAAUGCAGAAGUGGAUAAAGUAGCAGCAAUAAGAGUCAUGAGAGCUUUAUCAUGAAUCUUCCAUAUUUUAUAUGCAUCAGAGAUGACUGGAGUAAUGUCAACAGUACCAGCCACAUAAUUAUUAUCCUCAAAUUUCUUAGGACAAGAAAUUGAGCCAUCAACAAAACCAAUUAUACCAUUUCCUUCCAGAAGAAGAUCCAUUUGGAAAUUCCAGGUAACAUAGUUAGAGUUAUCUAAUUUCACUGUCACAAUGUUGCCUACACUCAUAAUUAAUGAGGAAAUUGGCAAUUGAGUAAGAGCCAACUGAUUAGGGUUCACCAUUGUGUAUAGCCAAGAUUACUUCACUACACAUAACACUUCAAAAUCGCCAAAUAAAAAAAACACAUAAAGCAUCACUAGGAUUCAAAAACCACAACCACCAGAUUGAAGGGAAAAAUAAUGAGAUUCUAGAAUGGGAUUUCAAAUAGACUAUCAUGCAUAUACAAAUCAAAUUGAAUAUACGAAAGCAGCAGAAGCAUUUAUAACAUAUUAUCAAAGCUAUAGUCAUGCAAAUCCCCUUCAAGGUUCAUAGGUUUAUAUAGACAAAAGAAACCUAGUCAACACUUGACUAAAUAUCUCACCCUUUCCACCUUAAAGUGGCCGGCCUCAAAACAUUUUAAAGAAUCAAGAACAAAGUGAAGGUUAGUCUUAUACCUCUUGAUCUAGACUUGAGACCAAGGAUGGACCACCUCCAAGCCCUUUGCUCCUUGAAAUCCUUGAGCCUAGCUUCCCUCCUUGCCUCCUCCACUUUGAUAAAAUGAGUGCUCCUAGGUUCUCUUCAAGUUUCCAAAGUAGGAAACCUCUAAAGAUCCUCACCCAUUAGUGUAGUGAGAAGGAUGAAGGAAUAACCAAAAGGGUGUAAGAGAUGUUAGUAAAAACCCCCUUUGGUGGCCGGCCUUUGUGUAGUUUAGAGAGCUAUUUUUCUUUUGCCUCUUUGUUGUUUUUAACACACAAAAACCCUAAUGAACAAUAUCUUAUAAAGUUCCUUAUAUAGACAAAAGAAACCUAGUCAACACUUGACUAAAUAUCUCACCCUUUCCACCUUAAAGUGGCCGGCCUCUUUGUUGUUUGUUUGGGCUUUGGGCUUUUAUUAUUUCAAGUCAUCCAAUGCUUGAAUAAAAGCCCAAUGGAUUUAGGCCCAAUGGGCCCAAUUAAACCCGAACGUUUCUUAAGCCCAAAACGAUCUUUAUCGCUUUUAUGAUUUCUUUAGACUUUCUAAAUUAAUCACAACAAUCAAUUAAUCCAAUUAAUUAUUUCCAUCAUCCAUUAGUUACUCACUACAAUAGUGUUGUGGCGAACAAUCUUUUAGGUUCUAAUUAGCAAGGCAGUGAGGUGAUUGGCAUCAAUCCAAUUGCUUAUAUUUAAUUCAAUCACUUAGUGAAUUAAAACUUCAUUUUAAUUCACCUUUCUUCUUUGACGACUACAUUUAAUCAUCUAGAAGAACUCACAAGCUAUGAGUGACAUCUAACCAUAUGUCAUAGCUACCCAAACUAAUGUAGAAGUUUAUUCGAAGAACCUAGUCAGUUGGAAUUAUAAUGUAAUUCAAUCCUUCUCUAAUUCAAUACUCUCAAUCACAUCAUUAGGGUAUGGAUAUAUCAUGUCAAACCCCUAAUGUGAUUAUUCCUUCUUAUAUGAUCCAAUUGAGUCGUAUAGGAACGCUUUCCUUUAUUACGCUCGAUACUUCGGCCGAAGAUUCCCGAAUCAUAUCUUAGAGUAUUCUUCCUCUCUUAUCGAGGAUUAGAGAUUCCUUGUUGCGCAUACACUUGCCUUCAUGACUAAGUGGCUUAACCACAACUAUGCCGUUGACAUUCUGAUAGAGUGACGUUGACAUAAUCAAAGAUUAAGUACUUAACCACAAGACAACGGCGAUGCCUCAGGUCAAAGGACUACUUACAUUAUUCCAACCAUUAGAGUUACUUGCUUGACAUGUGAGUAGACCUCCAUGCAAGUACUCUCUUUCGAUUGUGUUCAGUGAACUCAUUCCCUUAAUGAGCACCUACAUACUUGUCUUAGUGUCACAACACGAAUGGGAUGAGACUUUCCAUCCUUCCAAUUGAAGCGGACACAGUAUGUACCGGUCUAAGCAUUGUCAGUAUCCCUCCGACAAUCCAACGACCAGGAACCUUUUGGACAUAAUGGUUAUGUGAAGAAGGUCUCUGUAGUCUAACUUCAUUAGAUUACUUCUUCAAUCGAUCCAUUGUCCAUGGAUUCACUAUUCAGGACAUAUAUUGUUUAUUGAGAUAGUCCUAAUUAGUUUCUUUGCCAUUUGAUGUAUAAGAAUCAUCCAUACAUCGAUUCAUUUGUCCUGAAAGAUUUCUUCCAAAGAUUGACUUUCAGGGCAUAUUUCCAACACAGAUAGCCGCAAAUCUUUGAACAUGCACAAUAUUGCAGAAAGAACACAACAAUUCGAAAGAAGCACAAGUACGAAAUCGAAUCAGAAAGUAGAGAAUCACAAUUAACAGAUGCAAGAGAGAGGAAGAAACACCUUGCAAGCGACAACAACGAACGCAGAAGUAACCAUCGGCUUCUACCAUGACUGUACACCAAAAUCCGCAAAUCUUAGGGUUUGAGCACCAACUUCGAUCGAACACCACUGACUUCAAUCGAAACACCACCGACGUCAAUCACCACUAACAACACAGCACGGAGCGACAAAAAAAGCAAGAGAUGAGCGGAAGCAACCAGGUCGUCAAUCGAUGACGGUGGCCAUGAUAGGCGAUGAUACCAUGUCAACUAUGAAGAAUUGUAGGAAGCAAUUGUAGAGUGAGAAAGUUAACAAACAGGAGAGAGAUACUGAAUAUUCUUUUUCUCAUUAAAAACCCGAUAAUUACACUUCAAUGUGGUAUAUAUAGUCUAUACCAGAGAACAACAAUUCUAACUAACUUUAUAAAACAAUCAAUUACAAUAUAAUACAUGUCACAUAUCCAACCAUUCUAUCAAUACAUCUGUCAUCCUAACAGCGACCUUAGGUUCAGAUGCAUUCACUGAAGUCAUUGUAGGUGCCAUUGGUGGAGGGAGAUUGAAAGAAGCUGAGAAUUCUAGUCUUUAAUUUGUAUGUCUAGAAGGAAAGUUAAUUGUUUGAGUGGUGUGGAGAAAUAUGGAAAAGGGAGUUGGUAUUUAUAGAGCAGGAUGGCAAGAUAAUAUAUGACCGACUUUAGUCGUGAGAAGUAUUUACAACGCAAGCACCCUUAUGGUCUUAACCCCAUAAGGUGGAGGUUUUUGAAUAAGUUGGCUAACGAUGACCUAAGUUUCAAAUUUGUUGUCCAGCUGCAACAAUAAAAUAUAUAUUAGUUUGUUGUUAACCACCAUGUAUAUGGAAAAUAUUAAUUCUUUAAAGACCAUGUAACUACAUUUAAAUUAUUUCUCUAAUAGAGAUGAGACACACUUGUUAGCCUUAUUAGGUUAUACAAUUAAGACACAAACGAAAGAGUGACUGACCUAAUUCCAAUGGCGGCCAUGGAAGUUGAAACCAAAAGUAGUAGAGCACGGCAACACCAGGAUCUUCUAUAAGCUACAACUACUCUAUGGGAAGCAUUGUAUUGUGUUAUCUAAGGCUUAUAGGGACCGGUGUUUAUAUAUAUAGGCUAAAAGAUAGGGUUUCCAUCCAUAAAGGAAAUCUAAACUUACUUUCUUAGCCUCUAAGUUAAGUAUCAUAAUUAUAAUCAAUUAGGGAUUCCAUCAAUCCUAUUUCCAAUAUAAGACACAUGAUAUAUGAUUAAUAUCUUUAAGAGAUCGAAUCAUAAUCAACAUUAUUUCUCCAAUAUGACAUUCCUAUUACAUGUAGUAGACCAGUUAAAGGUUGAUUUGUAUUGGAUAAAUCCAACAUUCUCCCACUUGGUCUACAAAAUGUAAUAUUCAUGUUUAUACUUGAGAUUGGAUACUAAUGUCUCUUUAGUGGCCAUGUAAUAGUGAUUACAUCUCGUCCUUAAUGCAGUUUCUGUCAAAUGCAUUUCUCAACAUGGAACUAACAAGGUUGUAGGGUUGACACAAUCUAGAACCUUCAUAAUCACACAUGCUAAGAUCCUCAUUCACAUGAAACACAAAUUAUGAUCAAGAGAUGAAACUUUAAAUAAACUUUAAGUUAACCAAAAUGUCUUACUUUAUAUCAUCUCAGGUCCAUCUUAUUGUAACACACAGGUUACACUUUUACACUUCUUCGAAGCCUUAAAUCUGCCAAUGCAGAUAUCCUUCAUCUAAUGAAACCACCAUAACCUGUAGGCGUGAAUACAUCUCAAAACAAUCUCACUUCACUUUCAUUAGACCAAUAACAAGCACACAGACAAUGUUUGAAGCCAACGGACACAACUAAAAGUACCAAAUAGGCACAUGUCCAAGUAAAAUACCCAGAAGCUUCGUAAAACAAACUAAUCCAACACUUAUAAGUAGAUGAAUUAACAUGUUUUUGACAUUGAUCUAUGCACUUUACCAGUUACUUUAAUGGUGAUUUCCAACACCUGCGAGCAGAUUGAAAUCCUCACAACUGACGCAUAGACCAUGCCAUGCCAUUUAGUAUGCAGUUUGAUAACAACUUGAUAUCCAACAUAUGUUUCAUCAGAUAAAUGACUAGCACACAAAAAAUGUGACUUAAUGAAUCUAGCUGAAGAUUAAACUGAAUACAUGGAUUCUAUAUAUACCUUAUAGGUCAUCUGCAAAUGUAAGGCAUUACUAACACAAAACUCAACCUCCCACUGAUCUGCAACAUCAUUACUUAAUUUGCUAGUCAAUACUUAAAUCAUAUUUUUGAAAAUAUGCCUUUGGGAAUAGCCUUACUUGGUCAAUGAAUGCAUAUUAACUCAAUGAAAGGUACAACUAAGCAUGGAAGCAUUCACUGCUGUUACACAAAAACAUGCAUCUAACAACCAUCUUAUAUGUAUUAAUAAGUCCACAUUUAUGCUAAGUCCUUGUGAGCCUCAAAACAAAUGAUCAACCAAGAAAUCCAAAUGAUUGCAAGUAAUAGAAAAAUGUACGCAUAUACCAAGUAUCCAUU
This 22030-nucleotide long non-coding RNA is filed under the name Malus domestica (apple). Its description in RNAcentral is "long non-coding RNA (MDOM_LNC009063)". The record is from RNAcentral. Lineage: Eukaryota; Viridiplantae; Streptophyta; Magnoliopsida; Rosales; Rosaceae.